RNAcentral lists this unclassified non-coding RNA (211 nucleotides) under soil metagenome. Its description in RNAcentral is "partial contains 5.8S ribosomal RNA, internal transcribed spacer 2, and large subunit ribosomal RNA". The record is from RNAcentral.
AACCUUAUGGACCUGCGGGCGUAUACCUGCGGAAGGAUCAUUACCGAGUUUACAACUCCCAAACCCCUGUGAACAUACCUAUACGUUGCCUCGGCGGAUCAGCCCGCGCCCCGUAAAAAGGGACGGCCCGCCCGAGGACCCCUAAACUCUGUUUUUAGUGGAACUUCUGAGUAAAACAAACAAAUAAAUCAAAACUUUCAACAACGGAUCU